RNAcentral lists this ribosomal RNA (468 nucleotides) under uncultured bacterium. RNAcentral's name for it is "partial 16S ribosomal RNA". It matches the Rfam family "Bacterial small subunit ribosomal RNA", at positions 28 to 507 of the family's 1533-position model. The record is from RNAcentral.
GACGAACGCUGGCGGCGUGCUUAACACAUGCAAGUCGAACGGAAAGGCCCUGCUUUUGUGGGGUGCUCGAGUGGCGAACGGGUGAGUAACAAGUGAGUAACCUGCCCUUGACUUUGGGAUAACUUCAGGAAACUGGGGCUAAUACCGGAUAGGAGCUCCUGCUGCAUGGUGGGGGUUGGAAAGUUUCGGCGGUUGGGGAUGGACUCGCGGCUUAUCAGCUUGUUGGUGGGGUAGUGGCUUACCAAGGCUUUGACGGGUAGCCGGCCUGAGAGGGUGACCGGGCACAAUGGUACUGAGAUACGGCCCAGAAGCCUACGGGAGGCAGCAGUGGGGAAUAUUGCACAAUGGGCGGAAGCCUGAUGCAGCAACGCCGCGUGCGGGAUGACGGCCUUCGGGUUGUAAACCGCUUUCGCCUGUGACGAAGCGUGAGUGACGGUAAUGGGUAAAGAAGCACCGGCUAACUACGUG